UGGGGAAUAUUGCACAAUGGGCGCAAGCCUGAUGCAGCCAUGCCGCGUGUGUGAAGAAGGCCUUCGGGUUGUAAAGCACUUUCAGCGAGGAGGAAGGUGGUGAACUUAAUACGUUCAUCAAUUGACGUUACUCGCAGAAGAAGCACCGGCUAACUCCGUGCCAGCAGCCGCGGUAAUACGGAGGGUGCAAGCGUUAAUCGGAAUUACUGGGCGUAAAGCGCACGCAGGCGGUUUGUUAAGUCAGAUGUGAAAUCCCCGGGCUCAACCUGGGAACUGCAUUUGAAACUGGCAAGCUAGAGUCUCGUAGAGGGGGGUAGAAUUCCAGGUGUAGCGGUGAAAUGCGUAGAGAUCUGGAGGAAUACCGGUGGCGAAGGCGGCCCCCUGGACGAAGACUGACGCUCAGGUGCGAAAGCGUGGGGCAGCAAACAGGAUUAGAUACCCUGGUAGUCCACGCUGUAAACGAUGUCGAUUUGGAGGUUGUGCCCUUGAGGCGUGGCUUCCGGAGCUAACGCGUUAAAUCGACCGCCUGGGGAGUACGGCCGCAAGGUUAAAACU
RNAcentral lists this ribosomal RNA (555 nucleotides) under uncultured bacterium. Its description in RNAcentral is "partial 16S ribosomal RNA". It matches the Rfam family "Bacterial small subunit ribosomal RNA", at positions 355 to 901 of the family's 1533-position model. The record is from RNAcentral.